RNAcentral lists this ribosomal RNA (487 nucleotides) under uncultured bacterium. Its description in RNAcentral is "partial 16S ribosomal RNA". It matches the Rfam family "Bacterial small subunit ribosomal RNA", at positions 28 to 523 of the family's 1533-position model. The record is from RNAcentral.
GAUGAACGCUGGCGGCGUGCUUAACACAUGCAAGUCGAACGAAGCACUUUUAAUUCUUCGGAAGAGAAAGUGACUGAGUGGCGGACGGGUGAGUAACGCGUGGGUAACCUGCCUUAUCCAGGGGGAUAACAGUUAGAAAUGACUGCUAAUACCGCAUAAGCCGAUAGAGUCGCAUGACUGAGUCGGAAAAGAUUUAUCGGUAUAAGAUGGACCCGAGUCUGAUUAGCUAGUUGGUGAGGUAAUGGCCCACCAAGGCGACGAUCAGUAGCCGGUUUGAGAGAGUGAACGGCCACAUUGGGACUGAGACACGGCCCAAACUCCUACGGGAGGCAGCAGUGGGGAAUAUUGCACAAUGGGGGAAACCCUGAUGCAGCAACGCCGCGUGAAGGAAGAAGUAUUUCGGUAUGUAAACUUCUAUCAGCAGGGAAGAAAAUGACGGUACCUGACUAAGAAGCCCCGGCUAACUACGUGCCAGCCGCCGCCGUAA